RNAcentral lists this small nucleolar RNA (222 nucleotides) under Leersia perrieri. Its description in RNAcentral is "snoRNA Plant_U3". It matches the Rfam family "Plant small nucleolar RNA U3". Rfam says of the family: Small nucleolar RNAs (snoRNAs) are involved in the processing and modification of rRNA in the nucleolus. There are two main classes of snoRNAs: the box C/D class, and the box H/ACA class. U3 snoRNA is a member of the box C/D class. The record is from Rfam by way of RNAcentral. Lineage: Eukaryota; Viridiplantae; Streptophyta; Magnoliopsida; Poales; Poaceae.
ACGACCUUACUUGAACAGGAUCUGUUCUAUAGGCUCGUACCGUUGCAUCCUUUACCGAAAAGGAGGCAAGCACUCAAGUCUGGUUGAUGAGACUAUGACCUCUGGGCCAGAGCGUGAUUAGCGGCCGUGAUGCCCAAGAUUUGGGCCAUCCGACGGCUGUAGAGGAUCGUUCCUGCCUGGAGAACUCCGGGGCAGGAUGGCCCAGAGGUUGUCUGACAGACC